AGAGUUUGAUCCUGGCUCAGGAUGAACGCUAGCGGCAGGCUUAACACAUGCAAGUCGAGGGGUAACGGGGAAGCUUGCUUCCGCCGACGACCGGCGCACGGGUGCGUAACGCGUAUACAAUCUACCUUGUACUGGGGUAUAGCCUUUAGAAAUGAAGAUUAACCCCCCAUAGUCUCUUAGAGUGGCAUCACUUCUAGAGUAAAGGUUACGGUAUAAGAUGAGUAUGCGUUCUAUUAGUUUGUUGGUGUGGUAACGGCACACCAAGACUACGAUAGAUAGGGGCCCUGAGAGGGGGAUCCCCCACACUGGUACUGAGACACGGACCAGACUCCUACGGGAGGCAGCAGUGAGGAAUAUUGGACAAUGGAGGCAACUCUGAUCCAGCCAUGCCGCGUGCAGGAAGACUGCCCUAUGGGUUGUAAACUGCUUUUAUACAGGAAGAAACACCUCUACGUGUAGAGGCUUGACGGUACUGUAAGAAUAAGGAUCGGCUAACUCCGUGCCAGCAGCCGCGGUAAUACGGAGGAUCCAAGCGUUAUCCCGGAAUUCCAUUUGGGUUUAAAGGGGUCCGUAGGGUGGAUAAUUAAAGUCAGAGGUGAAAUCUUGCAGGCUCAACUGUAAAAAUUGCCUUUUGAAACUGGUUAUUCUUGAGUUAUUAUGAAGUAGUUAGAAUAUGUAGUGUAGCGGUGAAAUGCAUAGAUAUUACAUAGAAUACCAAUUGCGAAGGCAGAUUACUAAUAAUCAACUGACACUGAUGGACGAAAGCGUGGGUAGCGAACAGGAUUAGAUACCCUGGUAGUCCACGCCGUAAACGAUGGUUACUAGCUGUUUUGGACUUCGGUCUGAGUGGCUAAGCGAAAGUGAUAAGUAACCCCACCUGGGGAGUACGUUCGCAAGAAUGAAACUCAAAGGAAUUGACGGGGGCCCGCACAAGCCGGUGGAGCAUGUGGUUUAAUUCGAUGAUACGCGAGGAACCUUACCAGGGCUUAAAUGUAAGUUGCAUUUAGUUAGAGAUAGCUAUUUCUUCGGACCACUUACAAGGUGCUGCAUGGUUGUCGUCAGCUCGUGCCGUGAGGUGUCAGGUUAAGUCCUAUAACGAGCGCAACCCCUGUUGUUAGUUGCCAGCGAGUCAUGUCGGGAACUCUAGCAAGACUGCCAGUGCAAACUGUGAGGAAGGUGGGGAUGACGUCAAAUCAUCACGGCCCUUACGUCCUGGGCUACACACGUGCUACAAUGGUAGGUACAGAGAGCAGCCACUGCGCGAGCAGGAGCGAAUCUACAAAACCUAUCACAGUUCGGAUCGGAGUCUGCAACUCGACUCCGUGAAGCUGGAAUCGCUAGUAAUCGGAUAUCAGCCAUGAUCCGGUGAAUACGUUCCCGGGCCUUGUACACACCGCCCGUCAAGCCAUGGAAGUUGGAAGUGCCUGAAGUCCGUCACCGUAA
Molecule: ribosomal RNA, 1443 nt
Filed under: uncultured Flavobacteriales bacterium
Lineage: Bacteria; Pseudomonadati; Bacteroidota; Flavobacteriia; Flavobacteriales
Description: bacterial SSU rRNA
Rfam family: Bacterial small subunit ribosomal RNA
Source: RNAcentral